This 1830-nucleotide long non-coding RNA is filed under the name Sus scrofa (pig). Its description in RNAcentral is "lncRNA (ENSSSCG00065036769.1)". The record is from RNAcentral. Lineage: Eukaryota; Metazoa; Chordata; Mammalia; Artiodactyla; Suidae.
AACUUCAAAAAUCUAAACAGAUUUUUAGAUUCUGCCUAAUGUAACCACUUUAUUUUGCAGGGCGUCAGAGAGGGAUUUUUUUCGCCAUUAACCCAGACCCCAGGGCAAUGUUCUUCCCCUCCUUCCAAGCCUACUCCCCUGCUGCCCAGACACGGACGGGGAGACUGAGCUGCUGGGGAGGGUUUAUCCAUGAAGGCAAGGCCCAUGAGCCGCGACUGCCUGUUUGUGGAGAGACGAUCAUACUGUCAAGAGGCAGUAAGGGAAAAUCACAAAAGUAAACACAUUUCUUCUCCCACCCCUUUCUAUUUUUGCCUGGGUGUCUGAGCCAGCGCUUGGCCCAGGUUUGACCGAGUAGAUCGUCCUCCUUGGCAACGCCAGCCUGGAGAGAUCAACCUGCAGGUUCACUGCCACUUCACACUCUCAUGAAGCUGACUCCACUUCUUUCUUCCCUUCCCUUCCCUUCCCACCCAAGGUCUCCGACCAGAAAAGCAUGUGUCUUCUCUACUUCCUCUCAGUGCAGUGAUGGGGUGUCUGGAUGAGUACUGAGCUCUCAGGAGAAAGUUGGGAGCCUGUUUUUCUAGAAUAUGCCUCCACACAUUGGAGAGUGUGCCGUUCAGCACUUCUGCUUUUUCUCCAAGGGCUUUCAUACCCAUUAUCACAUGCUUCCCCUGCUCUGGGCCCUACACUCAGAGAUGCAGGCAACUUCUCCAGCUAAUCUUCACACUCCUCAUAGGCUCAGGGGAUCUCAGACUUGGAAGAGAAAGCACAGAAAGCAUCUGACAUCCAAAGAGAAGGGGGAAGAUCAGCCCAAGAGAAUCAGGCCAAAUUGAAAAGAGGAUGUGAAACAGUAAAACAAGCACAGGAGAAAGCAGAAAUACAGCCCGCCUCGUGCCCUGGCAGAUUCACUGUCUGGUUCCAAAAGUGGAAGAUUUCCUCCAUCGAGCAGGUAGCUGACCUUAUGGAACACUGGGCAGGACAAGCUGGCCCUAUAAUGUGCUGUCCAUUUCGAGCGAGCACUGUAGGGCAGGGGACACGACCUUCUGCCAGCAGAGAGCAGGGAGGGUCAACACACUGUGAAAGAUGCUUUCCGUUGACAGAACAACCGUCACUAAAUUCAGCGCUGUGCUAAUCCCUACUUGACGGACAGUGCAAAUAUAAUUGGAAGGAGGAAUUUUUGAAAUACCUCAGAGAACAAACUUCCCAACCACUUUCAAGAACUUGAGAAACUCUUAUGUCCUAUGAAUACGAGGAGGCAGGGUAAGGUGACAAGAGGCCUGGACUGGGACUUCUGCAGCUAGACUGCAGGUCUCAACUGGGCCUCUCCUCGCUCUGUGUUUCUCUCUCUGUCUCUCUCUCAAGUUGGGUCAAGUAGUUUUCCCGUUUUCCUCAGGGGACCUCAAUUUGCUCAUUGGUAGAAUACGAAGACUCAUGCAGGUGGUCUCUAAGCUCUGCCUCGCUCUGAGUUUACAUAGCCAUUAACUAAGAGGCUAACUAGAGACAGCAAUUUAUGUUUCUAAUUUGAGUUGAUGACAUUUGCCACAUAAAUAAUGGUUUAAUGUCCUGGGGAUGGUCAGCUUGCCGAAGAGAAUGCCGCAAAGGACUAUUUGGUGCAUGAUAGCCGCUUUCAAACAUUUACGGACUCUCUGGGGAAAAGGAGUGUACCUGUGUUACAUCAACACCAGAAGGCAAGGAGACCUACGUGGGAAGGUAAAGGAAGACUUUUCUUGGGGUGAAAGAGGUUCUCUAUCAGAAGAGUGAGUCUCCCAUCACUGGAAGCAUUCAAGGGAAUUCCAAAUAACGGGGUUCCCUUACUAAGCAGGGCCUGGAGGC